Non-coding RNA from Podarcis lilfordi (Lilford's wall lizard), 180 nucleotides. NCBI's taxonomy places the organism in Eukaryota, Metazoa, Chordata, Lepidosauria, Squamata, Lacertidae. The record is from the annotation of a GenBank genome assembly.
UGCAAAAGACAAGAGAGAGAGCAGGGAGAGAGAGAGAGAGAGAAUCUUGUGGUACCCUUGGGACAACUGUGGCAAAAGGCCAAAAUGAAACUGGGUUUUUAAGAUGCAAUGAGACCAUCUCUCUCUCUCUCUCUCUCUCUCUCUCUCUCUCUCUCCCUCCCUCCCUCCCUCCCUCCCUCU